AUUGAACGCUGGCGGUAUGCUUAACACAUGCAAGUCGAACGGUAGCAGGCCUUCGGGCGCUGACGAGUGGCGGACGGGUGAGUAACGCGUAGGAAUCUGCCUCAUAGUGGGGGACAACGUGGGGAAACUCACGCUAAUACCGCAUACGCCCUACGGGGGAAAGCGGGGGAUCUUCGGACCUCGCGCUAUGAGAUGAGCCUGCGUUAGAUUAGCUAGUUGGUAGGGUAAAGGCCUACCAAGGCGACGAUCUAUAGCUGGUCUGAGAGGACGAUCAGCCACACUGGGACUGAGACACGGCCCAGACUCCUACGGGAGGCAGCAGUGGGGAAUAUUGGACAAUGGGCGCAAGCCUGAUCCAGCAAUACCGCGUGUGUGAAGAAGGCCUUAGGGUUGUAAAGCACUUUCAAUUGGGAGGAAAACCUGUCGGUCAAUACCCGGCAGCUUGACAUUAUCUUUAGAAGAAGCACCGGCUAACUCCGUAGCCAGCAGCCGCGGUAAU
RNAcentral lists this ribosomal RNA (499 nucleotides) under uncultured bacterium. RNAcentral's name for it is "bacterial SSU rRNA". It matches the Rfam family "Bacterial small subunit ribosomal RNA", at positions 30 to 524 of the family's 1533-position model. The record is from RNAcentral.